UAAACUACGAUUAGAUACCCUAUUAUUCUAAUUGUUAAAUAUUAGCCAGAGUAGUAGCAGAUAUGUUCUUAAAACUCAAAGAAUUUGGCGGUGUUUUAGUCCUAUCAGAGGAAUUUGUCCCGUAAUCGAUAACCCACGAUUUACUUGACUCAGUUUUGUAGUCAGCUUGUAUACCGCCGUCAAAAGAUUAUUUCUAGAGAAAAUGUUCAAGAUUCUGUAAUAAGAAGUAUGUCAGGUCAAGGUGCAGUUUAUGGCUGAGUGGCGAUGGAUUACAAUAUAGAUAAUAUAAACGGAUUUGAUUUUGUAAAGGUUAAUGAAGGUGGAUUUGGGUGUAAUAAAAUAAAGAAUAGUUUUAUGAUAAAGGCUCUAAAACAUGCACACAUCGCCCGUCGCUCUUA
RNAcentral lists this ribosomal RNA (398 nucleotides) under Metamonius sp. BYU IGCEP079. Its description in RNAcentral is "partial 12S ribosomal RNA". The stretch from base 49 to 398 matches the Rfam family "Microsporidia small subunit ribosomal RNA", at positions 752 to 1207 of the family's 1311-position model. Lineage: Eukaryota; Metazoa; Arthropoda; Insecta; Ephemeroptera; Nesameletidae. The record is from RNAcentral.